Molecule: transfer RNA, 72 nt
Filed under: Ictidomys tridecemlineatus (thirteen-lined ground squirrel)
Lineage: Eukaryota; Metazoa; Chordata; Mammalia; Rodentia; Sciuridae
Description: Spermophilus tridecemlineatus (thirteen-lined ground squirrel) tRNA
Rfam family: tRNA
About the family: Transfer RNA (tRNA) molecules are approximately 80 nucleotides in length. Their secondary structure includes four short double-helical elements and three loops (D, anti-codon, and T loops).
Source: Rfam by way of RNAcentral
GGGGUUGUGGCUCAGCGGUAGAGCUCUUGCCUAGCAUGUAUGAGGCACUGACUUCGAUUCUCAGCAGCACAU